AUUAAUAAUUAAUAUAUUUAAUAAAAAUAAUUUUAAUUUAAUAAGUAUUUUAAUGGGGGUUAAAGUAUUUUUUAAAGAAAAAAUUUUUAAAUUUAUAGUUAAUUAGUAUUGUGAAAGAAUUUUGAAAUAUUAUGAAAAAUAAAAUUUUUAGAAAGUAAUUUUUAUUUAUUGUAUCUUGUGUAUCAGAGUUUAUUAAAAAUUUUUAAUUUAUGAAUUAAUUUCUCGAAUUUAAAAGAGUUAAAUAAUUAUUAAAGUUAUUGUAGCAAAAUUAUUUUAAAUAAUUAUUUAGAAAUGAAAUGUUAAUCGUUUUUAAAUAUAUCUAGUUUUUAUAGAAAAAAAUUUAAUUUUAAAUUUAAAAAUUAUUUAAUUAAUUUAUUAAUUAAAUAGUUACUUAAAUUUUAUAAUUUAAGGGAUAAGCUUUAAAUUAAAUUUUUAUAAUAUUAAAUUUUUAUUUUGAAAAUUUUAUAAUUUAUAUUGUUAAUAAAUUUUAUUUUGUUAUAAAUAAUUUCAUUUUUUUUAAAAUUUAAAUUUUAUUUAAUUUUUUAUAUAAAAUUUAUUUAUAAUUAUAUAAAGUUAAUUAUAAUGAUAAAAUUAGUAUAUUAUUUAAUAUUAAAUUAAAAUUAAUUUUUGAUUAAUAAUUAAAUUAAUUAAAAGGAAUUCGGCAAAUAUUUAUUUUCACUUGUUUAUCAAAAACAUGUCUUUUUGUUAUUUAAUUUAAAGUCUAAUCUGCCCACUGAUUUAUAAAAAUUGAAGGGCUGCAGUAUAUUGACUGUACAAAGGUAGCAUAAUCMUUAGUCUCUUAAUUGGUGACUUGUAUGAAAGAUUGGAUGAAAAAUAUACUGUCUCUUAAUUAAUAUAUAGAAUUUAAUUUUUUAUUUAAAAAGUUAAAAUAACUUAAAAAGACGAGAAGACCCUAUAGAGUUUAAUAAAUUAUUUUAUGAAAGUUUUAUUUAUAUUUAUUAAUAAUUUUAUAAAUUUAUUUAUUUAGUUGGGGUGAUAAAAAAAUAAAUUUAACUUUUUUUAAGUAAUUUACAUGGAUAAGUGAUUAAU
Molecule: ribosomal RNA, 1050 nt
Filed under: Biston falcata satura
Lineage: Eukaryota; Metazoa; Arthropoda; Insecta; Lepidoptera; Geometridae
Description: partial 16S ribosomal RNA
Source: RNAcentral